Molecule: transfer RNA, 69 nt
Filed under: Haplodiplatys aotouensis
Lineage: Eukaryota; Metazoa; Arthropoda; Insecta; Dermaptera; Haplodiplatyidae
Description: tRNA-Gln
Source: RNAcentral
AAAUUUAAAAAAGAAUUAAACUUUACCCUUAUGCUUCAAAAACAUACAUGCUCCAUACACUAAAAAAUU